UUAUGCUACUAGGGGUGCGUAAUGCUGAGAAUUACCCUUAUAACCUGAUCUAGUUAAUACUAGCGUAGGGAAGUGGCUUUAUAUAGCA
Molecule: non-coding RNA, 88 nt
Filed under: Clostridium fallax
Lineage: Bacteria; Bacillati; Bacillota; Clostridia; Eubacteriales; Clostridiaceae
Description: TPP sequence
Rfam family: TPP riboswitch aptamer (THI element)
About the family: Vitamin B(1) in its active form thiamin pyrophosphate (TPP) is an essential coenzyme that is synthesised by coupling of pyrimidine and thiazole moieties in bacteria. The previously detected thiamin-regulatory element, thi box was extended, resulting in a new, highly conserved RNA secondary structure, the THI element, which is widely distributed in eubacteria and also occurs in some archaea.
Source: Rfam by way of RNAcentral